UUACAGGAUGGAGAAAAAUAGCUUUACAGAGGGAGAAACAUGUGCUCAGGAGAGAGGGAAUACAAGACCAUAGUAUGAAUGCAAAAUAUGUUUGAGUUCAACAAUGUCAUGACAAUGGUGUAGUAUAGAAACUUACGGUAGGUGUAUCAUUUGACAAAAAUCUUUUUGUAAAAAGGAAUUGGUGUACUGUAUGACAGUAUGUAACCAUUCUAAUCGUAGUUGAUCUGUGUGCACACCCUGUUCCAUUUCUUUUUUAUUUGGGUCCGAUCGAAGAAUUAAUAUCUGUUGUUUUAUAUUUCCCUUGGUUUUGAUUGUGUUUUGUGGAUGGUUGUUGAAGAGCGUGCUCGUUUAACCAACCAGUGGAAAUACUAACAUAGGGUUGGCAUUCAUGACGGCAGCCAAACACUAUAAACUUAUCAUUACAAUGUCUGCUUCAAUCGGUACUGAAAGAAGAAUUAUUCUUCGAACUUUUGGAGCCGAGCUGGUUCUCACUGAUCCCGCUGAAGGGAUGAAGGGGGUUGUUCAGAAGGCAGAGGAGAUUUUGGGCUAAGACACCAAAUGCUUACAUGCUGCAGCAGUUAGAAAAUCCAGCCAACCCAAAGGUCCACAUAAGAUUCAAGGAAUAGGUGCUGGUUUUGUCUCAGGUGUUUUGCAAGUCAACAUUGUUGACGAAGUUAUUCAAGUAAUUUUUCCAAGCUUUGGAGAGAGGUAUCUGUCUUCUGUGCUAUUUGAAUCCGAGAGGAAGGAGGCAGAAAACAUGGUGGUGGAGGCCCGAUUUCCUAUUUCAAUCUAGCAUUUUGGUUUUUUACUGCUUAUCCUGGGCAUAAUUACAUGAUAGCCACUCAUUGCACAGCCUGAUUGUUCAUAUCAAAUUUAACAAAAAUAUAGAUAUUAUAUUUUGUUUGUUUGA
RNA transcript from Mangifera indica (mango), 910 nucleotides. It is a transcript of the gene named cysteine synthase-like, with no coding region annotated. The record is from RefSeq and is a predicted model, not a curated record. Lineage: Eukaryota; Viridiplantae; Streptophyta; Magnoliopsida; Sapindales; Anacardiaceae. The transcript is spliced from 3 exons.